This is a long non-coding RNA of Micropterus salmoides (largemouth bass), 106 nucleotides long. RefSeq lists it as uncharacterized. NCBI's taxonomy places the organism in Eukaryota, Metazoa, Chordata, Actinopteri, Centrarchiformes, Centrarchidae. The record is from RefSeq and is a predicted model, not a curated record. The transcript is spliced from 3 exons.
UUAAUUGCACUUACCUCCUCCCCCGGGGCUUCAAUCUGAGCUCAAGGUGGGAUAGGCAGUUGUUGUCGACAAAUUACAACCACCCAAAUCCACAGAGACCGGCUGA